GUGUGAUCCCCUUAUCAAUCCAUGGUUUGGCAUUAAACUUUGGUAUACAAUAUGUUAUGAUUUGGAGUGGGGUAGCCAGUGAUAAUGGGGUAGGGCUUUCUAGGUUGCGUCUCGUCGCGUCCCAUACCCGUAAAGCGAGUUUAACUUGCUCUGGCAGAAGGGGAAUGGGUGGUCAGAACCUUUUAGGGAGCCACAGCAUUGUGG
Molecule: non-coding RNA, 204 nt
Organism: Pelobates cultripes (western spadefoot toad)
Lineage: Eukaryota; Metazoa; Chordata; Amphibia; Anura; Pelobatidae
Source: the annotation of a GenBank genome assembly